This 666-nucleotide long non-coding RNA is filed under the name Penaeus japonicus. RNAcentral describes it as "uncharacterized LOC122248883". The record is from RNAcentral. Lineage: Eukaryota; Metazoa; Arthropoda; Malacostraca; Decapoda; Penaeidae.
UCUUAAUACUAAAAAUCAAAAGCGACCCAUUAUACCUUAGAAUAGCUUUCAACAUUAAGCUAAAUCAAUGGAAAACUUCUAUAAAAAAAAUAUAUUUAUUUAUACGAACUCUUAAUACUAGAUAUCAAAAGCGACCCAUUAUACCUCGGAAUAGCUUUCAACAUUAAGCUAAAUCAAUGGAAAACUUCCAUAAAAAAGUAUAUUUAUUUAUACGAACUCUUAAUACUAGAUAUCACCGGUGACCCAUUAUACCUUGGAAUAGCUUUCAACAUUAAGCUAAAUCAGUGGAAAAAAUAAGAAAAUAUGUAACUUUAUUUAUACGAUUUUGAUUUUAAUAAUCAAAAUCACAAAGGACCCAUUCAUUAUACCUUGGAAUAGCUUUCAAGCUAAGUUAAUGCAGGUGAAACUUUUUUAGGAUUAAUUAUUACGAAGAAAAUGCAAUAUAGGUCCGUUUGCAAAACUGAAACAAUACAUACAGUAUUUAAUAAAUCAAUAAUCGGGCAAUUAGCCACCUAAACUAAAUCAAAGAAACACGUCAAUAACUUUCUUUGAAUUAACUUAGAAUAAUUCAUAUAUACGACAAUAAUGAAUAUUUUCUUUUCUUUUUCCUUUCUUAAAUUAAUUUCUACAUCGUCCCCCGUUGAUACCGAAAUAAAUUGCCAUAUG